CAACAAACUCUUGUUGAGAUCUGCUCUAUGCCAGGCCUGGUGUUAAGAUGGGAAAGAACAAGCAGGAGACACAAAAAUAAUCAGAAAUGGUGCAUUUGCUGGUGAAGAACAGGAAGAGAUUCUGUCUGGACCCCUCAAAGAGUCUCUGUGUGCACUAACUGGCAGUCCCUUUGUGUUUGCAUGUUAUCUUGGAGUGGGGAUGCAUUAUGGCUACUGUGAAUAAAACACAAGAUGCAUUUUCCCUGAAAGAACUGCAGGACACUGGAACACUGACAGCUCUGCUUUGAAACCCCCCUGUCAGACGAGGUUGAUUUCUUCACUUCCCUCCAAGCUCUCACAGAUGUAGUGAAGAUUUUGAAAGGAG
This 364-nucleotide long non-coding RNA is filed under the name Callithrix jacchus (white-tufted-ear marmoset). RNAcentral describes it as "lncRNA (ENSCJAG00000079928.1)". The record is from RNAcentral. Lineage: Eukaryota; Metazoa; Chordata; Mammalia; Primates; Cebidae.